GAUGAACGCUAGCGAUAGGCUUAACACAUGCAAGUCGAGGGGCAGCAUGGUCUUAGCUUGCUAAGACUGAUGGCGACCGGCGCACGGGUGCGUAACGCGUAUGCAACUUGCCUCACAGAGGGGGAUAACCCGUCGAAAGACGGACUAAUACCGCGUACACUUGGGAUAGGGCAUCCUAUCCCAAGGAAAUGAAAUUCGCUGUGAGAUAGGCAUGCGUCCCAUUAGCUAGUUGGUGAGGUAACGGCUCACCAAGGCGACGAUGGGUAGGGGAACUGAGAGGUUGAACCCCCACACUGGUACUGAGACACGGACCAGACUCCUACGGGAGGCAGCAGUGAGGAAUAUUGGUCAAUGGGCGAGAGCCUGAACCAGCCAAGUCGCGUGAAGGAUGACUGUCUUAUGGAUUGUAAACUUCUUUUAUACGGGAAUAACAAGAGCCACG
RNAcentral lists this ribosomal RNA (442 nucleotides) under Porphyromonas sp. oral taxon 279. Its description in RNAcentral is "bacterial SSU rRNA". It matches the Rfam family "Bacterial small subunit ribosomal RNA", at positions 28 to 460 of the family's 1533-position model. Lineage: Bacteria; Pseudomonadati; Bacteroidota; Bacteroidia; Bacteroidales; Porphyromonadaceae. The record is from RNAcentral.